AAAAAAAAUAGGGCUGUCCAUCAUAGACAGCCCUUCUUCCUCGAACCCUGAGAUUCAAGAAAGUAAAGGGAGAGGAGAAACCGGAGGAAGUACUUAUGGGGAUGUAAGCCUUCUCCGUUU
Halobacillus halophilus DSM 2266 is the source of this 120-nucleotide non-coding RNA. Lineage: Bacteria; Bacillati; Bacillota; Bacilli; Caryophanales; Bacillaceae. The record is from Rfam.